CUGUAGUGAUGAUUUACAACCUGAACUCUCUCUUUCUGAUACUUCGUGGAGAAAACGAGAUUUAUAAAUUCUGAGUAGC
This is a small nucleolar RNA of Jaculus jaculus (lesser Egyptian jerboa), 79 nucleotides long. RefSeq annotates it as small nucleolar RNA SNORD26. The transcript has a single exon. NCBI's taxonomy places the organism in Eukaryota, Metazoa, Chordata, Mammalia, Rodentia, Dipodidae. The record is from RefSeq and is a predicted model, not a curated record.